CCUACGGGAGGCAGCAGUGGGGAAUUUUGGACAAUGGGCGCAAGCCUGAUCCAGCAAUGCCGCGUGAGUGAAGAAGGCCUUCGGGUUGUAAAGCUCUUUUGUCAGGGAAGAAACGGUGGGAGCUAAUAUCUCUUGCUAAUGACGGUACCUGAAGAAUAAGCACCGGCUAACUACGUGCCAGCAGCCGCGGUAAUACGUAGGGUGCAAGCGUUAAUCGGAAUUACUGGGCGUAAAGCGUGCGCAGGCGGUUUUGUAAGGCUGUCGUGAAAUCCCCGGGCUCAACCUGGGAAUGGCGAUGGUGACUGCAAGGCUAGAGUUUGGCAGAGGGGGGUAGAAUUCCACGUGUAGCAGUGAAAUGCGUAGAUAUGUGGAGGAACACCGAUGGCGAAGGCAGCCCCCUGGGUCAAAACUGACGCUCAUGCACGAAAGCGUGGGGAGCAAACAGGAUUAGAUACCCUGGUAGUCCACGCCCUAAACGAUGUCUACUAGUUGUCGGGUCUUAAUUGACUUGGUAACGCAGCUAACGCGUGAAGUAGACCGCCUGGGGAGUACGGUCGCAAGAUUAAAACUCAAAGUGAAUUGACGG
RNAcentral lists this ribosomal RNA (586 nucleotides) under uncultured bacterium. Its description in RNAcentral is "bacterial SSU rRNA". It matches the Rfam family "Bacterial small subunit ribosomal RNA", at positions 338 to 916 of the family's 1533-position model. The record is from RNAcentral.